UGCAUUCUCUACUGUAAGUCGCUCUGGAUAAGAGUGUCUGCUAAAUGACUAAAA
Salmo salar (Atlantic salmon) is the source of this 54-nucleotide non-coding RNA. The record is from Rfam. Lineage: Eukaryota; Metazoa; Chordata; Actinopteri; Salmoniformes; Salmonidae.